Molecule: ribosomal RNA, 1896 nt
Filed under: Triticum aestivum (bread wheat)
Lineage: Eukaryota; Viridiplantae; Streptophyta; Magnoliopsida; Poales; Poaceae
Description: partial small subunit ribosomal RNA
Source: RNAcentral
AUGAGAAAAUUACUUGUCACAGCCCUCCUGCUGCUGCCUCUGAUCAACCACGGAAUCUACUUGGCCACGGCAUGGGAUGAUCAAGAUUUCUUCAAAUACUGCCCACCUUCCCAGUGCAGCCAACAUGGCCCAGAGAUCAGGUAUCCUCUCUGCCUUGAAUCCAGCAAUACAUCAUCAUCGUCGUCAUGUGGGUGUGUCGGCAGAUCAAUCAGGAAGUUUGCAUGCUUUGGUCAAGACACCAUCCUAGUCCACCCAGUUCUUGGCCCAUACAGUGUCAGCGCCAUAGAUUACAGGCGCUCUUCCAUGAAGAUCACCCCGCUUGUAGACCCCUGUUUGGUGCUCCAGCAGAAGCUCAUCAUCUCCGGAAGCUCAUCAUCUCCACAGGUUGAUGUUAUCAAUGAUGAGGGUUCAUCUGCAACCCUACUACACUGUUCAAGAGAGUUCACACCUGGUCCAGCCGAAAGCAUUGCUGGCCCAGUAUCCUGCCUUAGCAACACAACCCACUUCUUUUAUUUGGUGUCUGGUUAUAAAGCCAUGUCCAGUCUUCCAUUGGACUGCAAGGUUUUCCCAAUCUCAGAUGGCGUCAGUGGCCGGCUGAUACCAAUGUAUAUGUUUGAGGACCCAAUGUCAUACACGCCCUUCUCACUGUCCUUCAAGGAACGCAUAGAAAGAAUGCUCAGUUUUGCUGAGACGACAGUGUAUUGGUUUGGUGGCAAUUGCAGGCAAUGUGAACUCAGUGGGCAACGCUGCGCGUUCAGCUCAGAAAGGAAGGAACAAUUCUGCAUACCUGACCCUCAUGGUUCACGUAUCAAAGUCAUUGCAGCUACAUCAUCGGUGGCCGCAUUUGUCGUUCUUUUGGUGACGGUGGCCACUGUGCUUUAUCUUUCACUCAAGACAAGAUAUAAUGCAGAGAUACAUUUGAAGGUUGAAAUGUUCCUCAAGACAUAUGGAACAUCAAAACCCACGAGGUACACUUUCUCCGAAGUUAAGAAGAUGGCAAGACGGUUUAAGGAAAAAGUAGGGCAGGGAGGAUUUGGAAGUGUAUACAAAGGCGAGUUACAAAAUGGAGUGCCCGUGGCAGUCAAGAUGCUAGAGAACUCUACUGGAGAGGGAGAGGUGUUCAUCAAUGAAGUUGCAACCAUCGGACUAAUCCACCAUGCCAAUAUUGUCCGUCUCCUAGGAUUUUGUUCCGAAGGAAUGAGACGGGCUCUUAUUUACGAAUUCAUGCCUAAUGAGUCACUAGAGAAAUACAUAUUCUCUGAUGACUCUAAUAUUUUUCAGAAUCUUCUAGUACCAGACAAGCUGCUAGAUAUUGCUUUAGGCAUCGCCAGGGGAAUGGAGUACUUGCAUCAAGGGUGCAACCAGCGCAUCCUCCACUUUGACAUCAAGCCUCACAAUAUCCUGCUGGACUACAACUUCAAUCCAAAGAUCUCAGACUUUGGCCUUGCAAAGUUGUGUGCAAGGGACCAAAGCAUCGUGACCUUAACUGCAGCAAGAGGCACAAUGGGCUACAUUGCACCAGAGCUAUACUCUCGGAACUUUGGGGGGGUAUCGUACAAGUCAGACGUGUACAGUUUCGGCAUGCUGGUGCUAGAAAUGGUAAGUGGGAGGAGGAAUUCAGACCCAAGAAUCGGGAGCCAGGACGAUGUUUACCUCCCAGAGUGGAUCUACGAGAAAGUGAUCAAUGGGGAGGAGUUGGCGCUUACUUUGGAAACCACUGAAGAAGAUAAAGAAAAGGUGAGGAAGCUGGCUAUGGUGGCACUGUGGUGUAUCCAGUGGAACCCAAGAAACCGGCCGUCGAUGACAAAGGUCGUUAACAUGCUAACAGGGAGGCUUCAGAGUCUGCAGAUGCCCCCGAAGCCUUUCGUCUCAUAUAAAAAUGAACCUAUGCCAUAA